GCCAGACUCCUACGGGAGGCAGCAGUGGGGAAUAUUGCACAAUGGGGGAAACCCUGAUGCAGCGACGCCGCGUGAGUGAAGAAGUAUUUCGGUAUGUAAAGCUCUAUCAGCAGGGAAGAAAUAGCGACCUUUGGGUCGCCAGACGGUACCUGACUAAGAAGCCCCGGCUAACUACGUGCCAGCAGCCGCGGUAAUACGUAGGGGGCAAGCGUUAUCCGGAUUUACUGGGUGUAAAGGGAGCGUAGACGGCGCGGCAAGUCUGAAGUGAAAGGCAGGGGCUUAACCCCUGAACUGCUUUGGAAACUGCCAUGCUAGAGUGCUGGAGAGGUAAGUGGAAUUCCUAGUGUAGCGGUGAAAUGCGUAGAUAUUAGGAGGAACACCAGUGGCGAAGGCGGCUUACUGGGCAGUAACUGACGUUGAGGCUCGAAAGCGUGGGGAGCAAACAGGAUUAGAUACCCGUGUAGU
This 465-nucleotide ribosomal RNA is filed under the name uncultured bacterium. RNAcentral's name for it is "bacterial SSU rRNA". It matches the Rfam family "Bacterial small subunit ribosomal RNA", at positions 330 to 794 of the family's 1533-position model. The record is from RNAcentral.